This 2892-nucleotide ribosomal RNA is filed under the name Klebsiella pneumoniae. Its description in RNAcentral is "23S ribosomal RNA". It matches the Rfam family "Bacterial large subunit ribosomal RNA". The record is from RNAcentral. Lineage: Bacteria; Pseudomonadati; Pseudomonadota; Gammaproteobacteria; Enterobacterales; Enterobacteriaceae.
UUAAGCGACUAAGCGUACACGGUGGAUGCCCUGGCAGUCAGAGGCGAUGAAGGACGUGCUAAUCUGCGAAAAGCGUCGGUAAGGUGAUAUGAACCGUUACAGCCGGCGAUGUCCGAAUGGGGAAACCCAGUGUGAUUCGUCACACUAUCGUUAACUGAAUACAUAGGUUAACGAGGCGAACCGGGGGAACUGAAACAUCUAAGUACCCCGAGGAAAAGAAAUCAACCGAGAUUCCCCCAGUAGCGGCGAGCGAACGGGGAGCAGCCCAGAGUCUGAAUCAGCUUGUGUGUUAGUGGAACGGUCUGGAAAGUCCGACGGUACAGGGUGAUAGUCCCGUACACCAAAAUGCACAGGCUGUGAACUCGAAGAGUAGGGCGGGACACGUGGUAUCCUGUCUGAAUAUGGGGGGACCAUCCUCCAAGGCUAAAUACUCCUGACUGACCGAUAGUGAACCAGUACCGUGAGGGAAAGGCGAAAAGAACCCCGGCGAGGGGAGUGAAAAAGAACCUGAAACCGUGUACGUACAAGCAGUGGGAGCACCUUCGGGUGUGACUGCGUACCUUUUGUAUAAUGGGUCAGCGACUUAUAUUCUGUAGCAAGGUUAACCGUAUAGGGGAGCCGCAGGGAAACCGAGUCUUAACUGGGCGUUAAGUUGCAGGGUAUAGACCCGAAACCCGGUGAUCUAGCCAUGGGCAGGUUGAAGGUUGGGUAACACUAACUGGAGGACCGAACCGACUAAUGUUGAAAAAUUAGCGGAUGACUUGUGGCUGGGGGUGAAAGGCCAAUCAAACCGGGAGAUAGCUGGUUCUCCCCGAAAGCUAUUUAGGUAGCGCCUCGUGAAUUCAUCUUCGGGGGUAGAGCACUGUUUCGGCUAGGGGGUCAUCCCGACUUACCAACCCGAUGCAAACUACGAAUACCGAAGAAUGUUAUCACGGGAGACACACGGCGGGUGCUAACGUCCGUCGUGAAGAGGGAAACAACCCAGACCGCCAGCUAAGGUCCCAAAGUCAUGGUUAAGUGGGAAACGAUGUGGGAAGGCACAGACAGCCAGGAUGUUGGCUUAGAAGCAGCCAUCAUUUAAAGAAAGCGUAAUAGCUCACUGGUCGAGUCGGCCUGCGCGGAAGAUGUAACGGGGCUAAACCAUGCACCGAAGCUGCGGCAGCGACACUAUGUGUUGUUGGGUAGGGGAGCGUUCUGUAAGCCUGCGAAGGUGACCUGUGAGGGUUGCUGGAGGUAUCAGAAGUGCGAAUGCUGACAUAAGUAACGAUAAAGCGGGUGAAAAGCCCGCUCGCCGGAAGACCAAGGGUUCCUGUCCAACGUUAAUCGGGGCAGGGUGAGUCGACCCCUAAGGCGAGGCCGAAAGGCGUAGUCGAUGGGAAACAGGUUAAUAUUCCUGUACUUGGUGUUACUGCGAAGGGGGGACGGAGAAGGCUAUGUUAGCCGGGCGACGGUUGUCCCGGUUUAAGCAUGUAGGCUGGUUAUCCAGGCAAAUCCGGAUAAUCAAGGCUGAGGUGUGAUGACGAGGCACUACGGUGCUGAAGUAACAAAUGCCCUGCUUCCAGGAAAAGCCUCUAAGCAUCAGGUAACAUCAAAUCGUACCCCAAACCGACACAGGUGGUCAGGUAGAGAAUACCAAGGCGCUUGAGAGAACUCGGGUGAAGGAACUAGGCAAAAUGGUGCCGUAACUUCGGGAGAAGGCACGCUGGUGUGUAGGUGAAGUCCCUGCGGAUGGAGCUGAGACCAGUCGAAGAUACCAGCUGGCUGCAACUGUUUAUUAAAAACACAGCACUGUGCAAACACGAAAGUGGACGUAUACGGUGUGACGCCUGCCCGGUGCCGGAAGGUUAAUUGAUGGGGUUAUCCGUAAGGAGAAGCUCUUGAUCGAAGCCCCGGUAAACGGCGGCCGUAACUAUAACGGUCCUAAGGUAGCGAAAUUCCUUGUCGGGUAAGUUCCGACCUGCACGAAUGGCGUAAUGAUGGCCAGGCUGUCUCCACCCGAGACUCAGUGAAAUUGAACUCGCUGUGAAGAUGCAGUGUACCCGCGGCAAGACGGAAAGACCCCGUGAACCUUUACUAUAGCUUGACACUGAACAUUGAGCCUUGAUGUGUAGGAUAGGUGGGAGGCUUUGAAGCGUGGACGCCAGUCUGCGUGGAGCCAACCUUGAAAUACCACCCUUUAAUGUUUGAUGUUCUAACGUUGGCCCCUNACCGGGGUUGCGGACAGUGUCUGGUGGGUAGUUUGACUGGGGCGGUCUCCUCCCAAAGCGUAACGGAGGAGCACGAAGGUUAGCUAAUCCUGGUCGGACAUCAGGAGGUUAGUGCAAUGGCAUAAGCUAGCUUGACUGCGAGCGUGACGGCGCGAGCAGGUGCGAAAGCAGGUCAUAGUGAUCCGGUGGUUCUGAAUGGAAGGGCCAUCGCUCAACGGAUAAAAGGUACUCCGGGGAUAACAGGCUGAUACCGCCCAAGAGUUCAUAUCGACGGCGGUGUUUGGCACCUCGAUGUCGGCUCAUCACAUCCUGGGGCUGAAGUAGGUCCCAAGGGUAUGGCUGUUCGCCAUUUAAAGUGGUACGCGAGCUGGGUUUAGAACGUCGUGAGACAGUUCGGUCCCUAUCUGCCGUGGGCGCUGGAGAAUUGAGGGGGGCUGCUCCUAGUACGAGAGGACCGGAGUGGACGCAUCACUGGUGUUCGGGUUGUCAUGCCAAUGGCACUGCCCGGUAGCUAAAUGCGGAAGAGAUAAGUGCUGAAAGCAUCUAAGCACGAAACUUGCCCCGAGAUGAGUUCUCCCUGAGACUUUAAGUCUCCUGAAGGAACGUUNGACGUUGAUAGGCCGGGUGUGUAAGCGCAGCGAUGCGUUGAGCUAACCGGUACUAAUGAACCGUGAGGCUUAACCUU